This is a non-coding RNA of Cyanobacteria bacterium 13_1_40CM_2_61_4, 73 nucleotides long. The record is from Rfam. NCBI's taxonomy places the organism in Bacteria, Bacillati, Cyanobacteriota.
GUCCCGUUCGUCUAGUGGCCUAGGACACCGCCCUUUCACGGCGGCGACACGGGUUCGACUCCCGUACGGGACG